This 253-nucleotide ribosomal RNA is filed under the name uncultured bacterium. RNAcentral's name for it is "partial 16S ribosomal RNA". It matches the Rfam family "Bacterial small subunit ribosomal RNA", at positions 524 to 776 of the family's 1533-position model. The record is from RNAcentral.
UACGGAGGGUGCAAGCGUUGUUCGGAAUCACUGGGCGUAAAGCGCGUGUAGGUGGUCUUUUAAGUCUGGUGUGAAAGCCCGGGGCUUACCCCCGGAAGGGCACUGGAGACUGGGAGACUAGAGUACCGGAGAGGAAGGUGGAAUUCCUGGUGUAGCGGUGAAAUGCGUAGAUAUCAGGAGGAACACCGGUGGCGAAGGCGGCCUUCUGGACGGCUACUGACACUGAGACGCGAAAGCGUGGGGAGCAAACAGG